AUUUUAUAUGCUCAUUUAUUAUUAAAAAGUUCAAAAGUUAUUUAAAUUUAUUAACUAAAACUCUGCAAACAAUCUACAUUGGCGGACAAAAGACUGCUCACCGCUCUGGAAAUAACAAUAAAUUGUUUUGAAUGAAGAUAUUUUUGAAAACUAUUGGCAAUUCAGCAGUCUCAGUUGUGGAAGGCUGCCAAAGCUCGUCUUUUGAAAUACCAUAAGCAAAGCUAACCAAGGAAAACUGUUGUAUUAAAAAAAUGAAUAAAAAAGUUAAUUCCUAUAAAAGUCAAGGAUACAUCUGAUUAGCAUAACACACUGGAGGGAAAACUUAAUUUAAAAAGAGGCUCAGUGGUAUACAACCGACAAAAUAAAAUCCUGCGUUUAGCUAAUCUAUAAUAAUAAUAUAUAAUAAACUAUAGAUCUAUGCUGAGAAGUAUUAUAUUUUCGUCUCUUUGUUUGUAUUGAAUUGUAAACGCAGAUAAUCUUGAACUGCGUUUUUUAUGGCUUAGAUAUUAAAGAAGCACUUAUAAUAACGGUAAUUUUCAUCGGAUGUCUUCGAAAUGGCAUUGGAUUUGAUUUGAAUUUCUUUGAUCUUCAAGUUCAUUGAAUAUAAUAACCAAGUGACACCUUUUAAGACAAGUGUACGUGCUAAGUCUUCAAAUGUAACUCAGCCAAAGGGCAUGCAAAUUGGAAAGAAAGCUCAACCGAGAGCUGGGAACACUAUACACGACGCAAAAAUACCACAUCUUCCUGGGAUGUCGUCGAAUUGCCGCCUUAUUUAAACAAAAAUGAAACAAUAAAUAAGUAAGUAAUAACAAACUAUAAAAGCACCAAAGCAUAUCUGAUAUACAAAACAAGUAAAAAUUCAGAAGUGGCAUAGAAAGUUUUAAAUGACGUAGAAACGCGAAAAAUUCAAAAUUCCACCAACCUACUAGUGACAAUUUUAAAGUCUGCAUAACAGAAUCAUAAGGAAUACAUAUGGUGCUCUUUGCAAACAUAUAUAUACACAUAUAUAACAGGCGUAGGAAAAAGUAAUCCAUUAUUUUUAUAUAAAUUUUAAUGGUUCCAAUUUUUCUAUGCGUAUCCAGCCAAUCUUUAGCUCUUGGAUCAUCGGAGUCGACAAUGUCAGUGCUUUUAUCGACAAUUUGUCGAAGCAUUCCACUCGUCGAAGCAUCUUUUACAUCAAAAUUACCGGAAUAAAAUGAAAUUGCGCAUGAUUUACUGUAAAAGUAUCAGAACCAUAAACGCUAUUCACAUUUUCAGCCGCCUGGGCUGCGUUGGCACGAAAUGCGAUCUUUCUAACGCCAUCUAGCUGAGCCGACAGGCAAAUAAAGUCUUCUAUUUGAAAAAAAAAAAUGGAUCUCUCUCUACUACAACUAUUAUAUUGUUAUUUUUGGUUAUCUGGACUGUUACAAGAAAACCAACAUUGUAUGAAUAUAAGUGAUAAAUACGAUGUAUAUGUACACUUUACUGCCACCUUAUCCGAGUGGUUAGCACUGCGUAGUGCAGAGUCACGGACAUGAUUAGUUUUCUGAGUGCUGUCGCUCCUCGGCAUGGAUUGCCAUCCCUCCAAGUUCCUUGUAAAAAAGAAGGAUUAUAAUAAACUGUAGAACAUUCCAUUCGAUAUAGAAAAUCAAAACGAGCGCUACAAAUUGGAGAUAGCUUGACUGAAACAAUUAAGGGUUAAUGGAAAUAUAAAGGGUUUUUUUCGAACGCAUCGCACAACAACGUUUUAAUAUCUUAAGAGCAUAGUAUUCACCCGCAGACUACACAGAUAUAAUACCUUCAAAGAAACACAACAAAAAGUAAUGUAUAGAGUUUCGUUUAUUUGGACUUGAAAUGUUAACAGCAUUUUGUGUAUGUACUUAUUUAGGUAUUCAUCAUUGUUUCUUUUUGUUUUUUAUUAUUCUGUUUUAGCGUACAAUUUAGCUCAUUUAUGUCUAUCGACUUAAUGGUGGCUUCAAAGCGAAU
This 1965-nucleotide long non-coding RNA is filed under the name Ceratitis capitata (Mediterranean fruit fly). Its description in RNAcentral is "uncharacterized LOC110118462, transcript variant X2". The record is from RNAcentral. Lineage: Eukaryota; Metazoa; Arthropoda; Insecta; Diptera; Tephritidae.